RNAcentral lists this ribosomal RNA (253 nucleotides) under uncultured bacterium. RNAcentral's name for it is "partial 16S ribosomal RNA". It matches the Rfam family "Bacterial small subunit ribosomal RNA", at positions 524 to 776 of the family's 1533-position model. The record is from RNAcentral.
UACGGGGGGGGCAAGCGUUGUUCGGAAUUACUGGGCGUAAAGGGCUCGUAGGUGGCCAACUAAGUCAGACGUGAAAUCCCUCAGCUUAACUGGGGAACUGCGUCUGAUACCGGAUGGCUUGAGUUUGGGAGAGGGAUGCGGAAUUCCAGGUGUAGCGGUGAAAUGCGUAGAUAUCUGGAGGAACACCGGUGGCGAAGGCGGCAUCCUGGACCAACACUGACACUGAGGAGCGAAAGCCAGGGGAGCAAACGGG